RNAcentral lists this ribosomal RNA (474 nucleotides) under uncultured bacterium. Its description in RNAcentral is "bacterial SSU rRNA". It matches the Rfam family "Bacterial small subunit ribosomal RNA", at positions 34 to 507 of the family's 1533-position model. The record is from RNAcentral.
CGCUGGCGGCGUGCCUAACACAUGCAAGUCAACUUGACUGAAGGAGCAGUCUGACAGUAGAGUGGCGCAAGGGUGCGUAACGCGUAAGUAACUUGCCCCAAGGUAAGGAAUAACGUCGAGAAAUCGGCGCUAAUACCUCAUAAUGCAGCGGAUCCGCAUGGAUAUGUUGUUAAAGGUUUACCGCCUUGGGAUAGGCUUGCGUCUGAUUAGCUAGUUGGUGUGGUAACGGCACACCAAGGCUACGAUCAGUAACUGGUCUGAGAGGAUGAUCAGUCACACUGGAACUGAGACACGGUCCAGACUCCUACGGGAGGCAGCAGUGAGGAAUAUUGGGCAAUGCUCGAAAGAGUGACCCAGCAACGCCGCGUGGAGGAUGAAGGUAUUCUAUAUCGUAAACUCCUGUGAGAGCAGACGAAAGACAGAUUAUUAAUCUGGAUGACUGUAUGCUCAGAGGAAGCCCCGGCUAACUACGUG